This 439-nucleotide ribosomal RNA is filed under the name uncultured Bacillus sp. RNAcentral describes it as "bacterial SSU rRNA". It matches the Rfam family "Bacterial small subunit ribosomal RNA", at positions 480 to 916 of the family's 1533-position model. Lineage: Bacteria; Bacillati; Bacillota; Bacilli; Caryophanales; Bacillaceae. The record is from RNAcentral.
UAACCAGAAAGCCACGGCUAACUAACGUGCCAGCAGCCGCGGUAAUACGUAGGUGGCAAGCGUUGUCCGGAAUUAUUGGGCGUAAAGGGCUCGCAGGCGGUUUCUUAAGUCUGAUGUGAAAGCCCCCGGCUCAACCGGGGAGGGUCAUUGGAAACUGGGGAACUUGAGUGCAGAAGAGGAGAGUGGAAUUCCACGUGUAGCGGUGAAAUGCGUAGAGAUGUGGAGGAACACCAGUGGCGAAGGCGACUCUCUGGUCUGUAACUGACGCUGAGGAGCGAAAGCGUGGGGAGCGAACAGGAUUAGAUACCCUGGUAGUCCACGCCGUAAACGAUGAGUGCUAAGUGUUAGGGGGUUUCCGCCCCUUAGUGCUGCAGCUAACGCAUUAAGCACUCCGCCUGGGGAGUACGGUCGCAAGACUGAAACUCAAAGGAAUUGACGG